This 371-nucleotide ribosomal RNA is filed under the name uncultured bacterium. RNAcentral's name for it is "bacterial SSU rRNA". It matches the Rfam family "Bacterial small subunit ribosomal RNA", at positions 29 to 418 of the family's 1533-position model. The record is from RNAcentral.
AGCGAACGCUAGCGGCGGGCCUAACACAUGCAAGUCGAGCGGAGAACUUCGGUUCUUAGCGGCGGACGGGUGAGUAACGCGUAGGUAAUGUGCCUUCUGGUGGGGAACAACCGUGCGAAAGCAUGGCUAAUACCGCAUAUGUCGAGAGAUGAAAGCCUUCGGGCGCCAGUAGAGCAGCCUGCGUCCCAUUAUUUAGUCCUAGUUGGUGAGGUAACGGCUCACCAAGGGUACGAUGGGUAGCUGGUCUGAGAGGAUGAUCAGCCACACUGGAACUGAGACACGGUCCAGACUCCUACGGGAGGCAGCAGUGGGGAAUAUGCGCAAUGGGCGAAAGCCUGACGCAGCCACGCCGCGUGAGUGAUGAAGGCCUC